AACGGUCACACAACACGCCGGAUGCACUCUUACACUUCAUCCAUCCAGCUUGUAUUCUAUGGUUGAGAUCUCCAUCUAAUUCUCCGUUCUCUUGCAAGAUAGAUCCUAGGUAGCGAAAACGGUCGCUUUUUGUGAUCUUCGCUAGAUUGCUCCGGUCAUUAGUGUGGAUAAGUAUAUAAAUGGAUAGAGAGAGGAAAGCAAACACAAGAUGUACGUGGUUCACCCAGAUUGGCUACGUCCACGAAAUAGAGGAGUUCUCAUUAAUUGUGAAGGGUUUACACAAGUACAUAGGUUCAAGCUCUCCUUU
Molecule: long non-coding RNA, 307 nt
Filed under: Malus domestica (apple)
Lineage: Eukaryota; Viridiplantae; Streptophyta; Magnoliopsida; Rosales; Rosaceae
Description: long non-coding RNA (MDOM_LNC008925)
Source: RNAcentral